This 194-nucleotide ribosomal RNA is filed under the name uncultured bacterium. RNAcentral describes it as "partial 16S ribosomal RNA". It matches the Rfam family "Bacterial small subunit ribosomal RNA", at positions 338 to 524 of the family's 1533-position model. The record is from RNAcentral.
CCUACGGGAGGCAGCAGUGGGGAAUAUUGGACAAUGGGCGAAAGCCUGAUCCAGCCAUGCCGCGUGUGUGAAGAAGGUCUUCGGAUUGUAAAGCACUUUAAGUUGGGAGGAAGGGCAUUAACCUAAUACGUUAGUGUUUUGACGGUACCCACAGAAGAAGCCCCGGCUAACUUCGUGCCAGCAGCCGCGGUAAU